Molecule: long non-coding RNA, 549 nt
Organism: Rosa chinensis
Lineage: Eukaryota; Viridiplantae; Streptophyta; Magnoliopsida; Rosales; Rosaceae
Exons: 3
Source: RefSeq, a predicted model, not a curated record
CGGAAAGCAGGUGCAGGUGUGCAGCUAUUGGAGUCCGAGAUCCGACAACUCUGCUCUACCUCUAAAGAUAUCUUCUUGCAACAACCCAAUUUGUUAGAGCACCCAUCAAGAUUUGUGGUUAAAGCAAAAGUUGAAGAAAUUGCUCCCGGUGUUGCAACAGGAAUGAUUUUGUCUCUGCGUGAGAGUCUUCAUUACUAUCUAAGGAUGAUCUUGCGAAGUGCCAAGUAUGUAUCAUAUUUCAUUUUCCCUCGUUUCUAUCUCUUCAUUAUCCUUCUACAGUUAGUGAUAUAUCACUCAUGUGACAUCAAAUUCCAUCUAGUUGGAAAAUCUAAUGCUUACUAGUGUGUAAUUUUAAAAAUCAUGUCAAAUGUAAUUCCUUCUAGUCACAUGCUUGAUUCAUGGCACCUCUUGAUGCAUGCACCACCAUUAUAUGUGUUAUAUGGUUGUACCUACAUUCUAAUUCUUCUCUCAUAUAUUAAAUUAUGAUCUUCUUGGUUACAGAUGGAAUAUGAUGCUGCAAAAUCUGAGGUUCAGAAGUGGCAUUCUGCA